Lucilia cuprina (Australian sheep blowfly) is the source of this 277-nucleotide long non-coding RNA. RefSeq lists it as uncharacterized. NCBI's taxonomy places the organism in Eukaryota, Metazoa, Arthropoda, Insecta, Diptera, Calliphoridae. The record is from RefSeq and is a predicted model, not a curated record. The transcript is spliced from 2 exons.
AAGCAUUGUUUUGUUAGUUUUUUUUACAAAAUUAUUAAUUUUAAAGCUUAAAUUUACUAUAAAAUUGUGUAAAAUUUUUAAGAAUAUUUUCUGUUAACAUUUAUUAGAACAUUUAAGCGCUCUGGCUGAACAAUUUACAUAUUUCCAAUAAGCAGAAUUUGUCAUGUCCUGGCACCUGUAGUUUUCAAGGAAUAACUUACGAUAUUUUGUAAAAGUAUUAAAGAAUAAACAUAACUUAAGAAAAGAAAACAAAAAAAAUUAAAAAAAAAAACUAAAA